This 561-nucleotide long non-coding RNA is filed under the name Vulpes vulpes (red fox). RNAcentral's name for it is "lncRNA (ENSVVUG00000007727.1)". Lineage: Eukaryota; Metazoa; Chordata; Mammalia; Carnivora; Canidae. The record is from RNAcentral.
UAAAUCCAUUGUUCCCUAAGGCUUGUUGAGAUGUCCUAGCACUUGCUAUAAUAAAAAAAUGUGAUGAGGUCAAGAGUUUGCACUUCGCCAGUCAAAUCCUUAGCUCAAAGGUUUUAAAUUUGGGAAUUCAUAUCACUUCUGUUGUCUGGGGCUAGCCUUGUUAAUGAGGAGCUGGAGAAGCAUGCUACCUAAAUAAAUGUGAUGUGUGGGUGGCCGGUGUGAACACAGGUGUUGAAAAGAUGGAAACUGGGCCUGGCCUCGCUGAGUCAGAAUCUAAUGAGGGUAGAGAGUGAGAGAACUACUAACCUGAUCCUAUAUGCUGCACCUAGGAGGAGGAGUUUGCUGGUGAGAGAUACUCCACAUGGACAUAAGGAGGGGUGGGAUGAAGACUUGAGAGUGAUCCAAAAGAUGGGACACAUCAAGAUUCUGCCCUGGAGCCAUCUGUCCUCUCUGCUGAAUUUGGUAACAGACUGGAGAACUUAGCUGGUAAGGCUGUACAACUUUCAGAAGCACAUAUACAAAGAGAAAUGGCAGAGUGAAAUAUUGAGUUAAGGGCUCAAC